AGAGUUUGAUCAUGGCUCAGGAUGAACGCUAGCUACAGGCUUAACACAUGCAAGUCGGAGGGGAAACGACAUCGAAAGCUUGCUUUUGAUGGGCGUCGACCGGCGCACGGGUGAGUAACGCGUAUCCCAACCUCGCCCAUCACGUUGGGGAUAACCUUGCGAAAGUAAGACUAAUACCCAAUGACGUCUCUAGAAGACAUCUGAAAGAGAUUAAAGAUUUAUCGGUGAUGGAUGGGGAUGCGUCUGAUUAGCUUGUUGGCGGGGUAACGGCCACCAAGGCGACGAUCAGUAGGGGUUCUGAGAGGAAGGUCCCCCACAUUGGAACUGAGACACGGUCCAAACUCCUACGGGAGGCA
RNAcentral lists this ribosomal RNA (356 nucleotides) under uncultured bacterium. RNAcentral describes it as "bacterial SSU rRNA". It matches the Rfam family "Bacterial small subunit ribosomal RNA", at positions 8 to 350 of the family's 1533-position model. The record is from RNAcentral.